GCCAGGUGCUUUUCCUGGUCUCCCAUGGGGUGCAGGGCCCAAGCACCUGGGCCAUCCUCCACUGCACUCCCUGGCCACAGCAGAGGGCUGGCCUGGAAGAGGGGCAACCGGGACAGAAUCCGGCGCCCCGACCGGGACUAGAACCCGGUGUGCCGGCGCCGCUAGGCGGAGGAUUAGCCUAGUGAGCCACGGCGCCGGCUUCCUUCUGUUCUUGAACACUGUGUACUAACAGCUAUACUAUUUUCUUCCAGGUUCAUCCCUAGGAAGCUUGGGAAGACUCAGGACUGAAGCAUGUUGAGGAAGUGGAGAGGAUUCCUCUCUUUGACCCUAAGUGAAUCCUGUGAUGGCUUUGACAGAUGGAAUACAGCGGAAGUCACUCUGGGUCUGCUCUGGCAUAGCCCUUUGCUGGGCUGGAAGCCUCCACUUCCUUCCUGUUGGCCCUGGUGUUGUGAAAGCUCCAAACCACACAAAGAGGCCCUGGAGAACUUGACCCCGCAUGGAGCAGGAGAGGCCAAGCCCCACAUGUGAGCGAAGAAGCAGUCUUGCAAGUGGAUUCUCUAUCCCUCUCCUCUGCGGUGGGGGCUGUGGAGAGUGGGAGUGCCUGUUAGUCAAGACUUUCUGACCCUUCAAGCUCACAAGCAACAUCAUUCAUGGCUGUUCUAGGUCUCAUGGGUGAGAAGGCAUGUUUCUUGUGGGCCUCCAUUCAUUCAUCUGAAAAGCAUCAACGGUGCCUUUUGGUUCUGUCUCACAGGGCUGGUUCCAGUGUUGUCAUGAGGUCCUACAGUGAUAAUGUCUGUGCAAGUCAGUUUAGGGGUGAAGGAUGCUAAGAAAAUGGAGACCAAUUGGCAGGCUGGGAAGUGUGACAGGUGCCGAUUGUUCUUGCUGCCACAGCUCCGGGCACCCUGUAUCAUCCUCUCUAGUCCUUCAGCUUCCUCAUUACUUAUCAGAGGCAGAGCCCCCCAGGGAAGGGUAGCCAAGAUUCUGAUUCUAGAAUAUUCUGUCUCACAGUUCUUGCAUUGUUGACAUAUUGGCAACUCCAAAACGCAAGGCUCAAAGACAACAUUUUACUUGGGCCAGUGCUCCGGCGUAGCGGGUAAAGCCACUGCCUGCAGUGCUGGCAUCCCAUAUGGGCGCCGGUUUGAGUCCUGUCUGUUCCACUUCCCAUCCAGCUCUCUGCUAUGGCCUAGGGAAGCAGUAGAAGAUGGCCCAAAUCCUUGGGCCCUUGCACCCACUUGGGAGACCUGGAAGAAGCUCCUGGCUCCUGUCUUCGGAUCAGCGCAGCUCUAGCCUUUGCAGCCAAUUGGGGAGUGAACCAGCGGAUGGAAGACCUUUCUCUCUCUCCCUCUGUGUAACUCUGACUUUCAAAUAAAUAAACAAAUCUUUUUUUUAAAGACA
Molecule: long non-coding RNA, 1395 nt
Filed under: Oryctolagus cuniculus (rabbit)
Lineage: Eukaryota; Metazoa; Chordata; Mammalia; Lagomorpha; Leporidae
Description: lncRNA (ENSOCUG00000039612.1)
Source: RNAcentral